RNAcentral lists this ribosomal RNA (491 nucleotides) under uncultured bacterium. RNAcentral's name for it is "partial 16S ribosomal RNA". It matches the Rfam family "Bacterial small subunit ribosomal RNA", at positions 29 to 507 of the family's 1533-position model. The record is from RNAcentral.
GUGAACGCUGGCGGUAGGCCUAACACAUGCCAGUCGAACGGCAGCACCGUAAGAGCUUGCUCUUACGGGUGGCGAGUGGCGGACGGGUGAGGAAUACAUCGGAAUCUACUUUUUCGUGGGGGAUAACGUAGGGAAACUUACGCUAAUACCGCAUACGACCUACGGGUGAAAGCAGGGGAUCUUCGGACCUUGCGCGAUUGAAUGAGCCGAUGUCGGAUUAGCUAGUUGGCGGGGUAAAGGCCCACCAAGGCGACGAUCCGUAGCUGGUCUGAGAGGUUGAUCAGCCACACUGGAACUGAGACACGGUCCAGACUCCUACGGGAGGCAGCAGUGGGGAAUAUUGGACAAUGGGCGCAAGCCUGAUCCAGCCAUACCGCGUGGGUGAAGAAGGCCUUCGGGUUGUAAAGCCCUUUUGUUGGGAAAGAAAAGCAGCAGGUUAAUACCCCGCUGUUCUGACGGUACCCAAAGAAUAAGCACCGGCUAACUUCGUG